AUGCUGAGCUGUAAUCCAGUGCAGACACCAGUGGCCCGAGUAGGGGGAUGUGUGACGGAAGGAAGUGUGACUUUCAGAACAUGCUUAGAAGGCAGAAUCAGUGGGACACGAAAGACUUUCUGUCGACUGGACUGGACUUGGAGGAUCCUGAGGGCCGCCAGAUUUGCUGGGGAUGCUGAAGUGCGCAGGACGCUGGAGGGACGGCCAGCAUGCAGCGCCAGAGGUCAAAUGAAGCCAUCUCAAACUUCAAAAUCUAAGUCUCCACUUCAUGCCUGGCUUACUUCAGUGAGUGACAUCAAUAUCCAUCGUGGAAUUGCUCAUUUGGGUUAGCAACUGUUUAAUCUUGGAAACCACAUCGUAAGUGGGUAUAGUCUAAUUGCCAAACAAAAUGCACAAGCCUCAUCAUCUGGACUUGGCAAGUUCAGUGAUAAAGUAUGGAACGCAAUGGCAAGUGAGCCUCGCGUGGGGCGCAAGGCAGAGGAAGACCUGUGACUGUGCCCUCCCCUCCCUGGGCCUUGUCUGUCAUCUGCUACUGGAGACUCCUUUCCAGCAGCCGUGCUUCCUGACCAACCUCAAUGAUGAAAGCAAUUAAAAUACCACCACUUUUCAAUUUUUAGAGGAAUUUUCCCAGAAAUAAACAGAAACCAUCUUUUUAAUUGCAUCGUAACCUUUUAAGAAUAUAAAGACCACUAGAGGCCAACCACACUCUAAAGAGAAGCUAAGAGAGGUAAAUAGAGCAAUUAAAUAAGCCAUCACCCAGAGGACACUCGCUGAAAAGGUGAAGGCGUGAUGCAGUUUUCAAGGCCACACAGAGCGCUGGACAAAGUUCAAAGCCAAUGUCCCACUGUAGGACCAGUAGAUCUGCCCACCCACCAAAACCUGUGAUUUUAAUUACACCUUUAGCCUAAGAGUAAAUUAGAAUGCACUUACUCUCCAGUUAACUACUAGAAAAUCAACUGUCUCCAACCUUGAGUCUAAGUUGGAGGUUAAAAAACAUAUAUAUUCCCUAAGAAUUCAAAACCACAAGCAGAAUCUCAUACAGGUAUGAACAUCAAACACACACUUCUUGUGUAGGAUUAAAAAUGGUAAGUUGGGAUUCAGUGUCUCUAACCCUUGGUAAAGCAAAUGCAGUUCCUGUCUGAAGGAAUUUACUUCAAAAAUAGAGAUCUUCAGGUGCUGCCCCACACCAGACCUCCCCAACUAAGAUCUUAAACAUGGACACGCACAGAAAUUCCACAGGGAAAAUUUCAAUAAACAGGAAGUCAUAGCAGUAAAAAAUGAAAUGACGGGGAAUCAAGACACUAUGAGGAAUAAACAGAAAACAAUACAAUCCUAAAAGAAAGACGUCAAAUACUGACCUAACCAGACAUCGAAUGUCUUAUAACAUGGUUUCUGAAAAUUUAUGAACCACCUGGUGAUAUGUUUCUUUUCUUAUAAUGAAAUUUUGACUCAGAAAGUCUGAGAGUUGGGCUUCAUAUUCUGCCUGUCUAGCGAGCUCCAAAGUGUUACCACUGCUGCUCAUCUGUGGACCAUACAUUAAUAAAGUUUUGAUAUUGUGUUUAAUAUGCUACCUUAGUUUUUUAUUGUUGCUGUGAAGAAGCACCACAAUACUGAGUCUUGAAGCAAUCAAAAUUUAUUAUCUCACAGCUCCAUAGGUUAGAAGUCCAGUUUGGUGCAUCUGAGUUCUUGACUCCAGGUUUUACAAAGCACAAAAUCAGGUGGUAAAAAUAAAUACACAAAUGUAUUUGCAUGUAUAUGUGUGUAUAAUAAUAAUACAGUUGUAAUGAACUAAAAUGCUCAGUUAAAAGACAAAGACUUGAUGGGAAUAGCAUUGAAUCUAUAAAUUACUUUGGGCAGUAUGGCCAUUUUCAUGAUGAUGAUUCUUCCUCUCCAUGAGCAUGGAAUGUUUUCCAUUUGUUUGUGUCCUCUCUUAUUUCCUUGAGAAGUGGUUUGUAGUUCUCCUUCAAGAGGUCCUUCACAACCCUUGU
Molecule: long non-coding RNA, 1988 nt
Organism: Rhinopithecus bieti (black snub-nosed monkey)
Lineage: Eukaryota; Metazoa; Chordata; Mammalia; Primates; Cercopithecidae
Source: Ensembl